RNAcentral lists this long non-coding RNA (3447 nucleotides) under Sus scrofa (pig). RNAcentral's name for it is "lncRNA (ENSSSCG00065012253.1)". Lineage: Eukaryota; Metazoa; Chordata; Mammalia; Artiodactyla; Suidae. The record is from RNAcentral.
AACCCUAAGCUUUUUACUUUGUGUGAGUUGAUCAUGGACAGAUUUCUUCUUAAGGAAAUCACUGGAGAGACAUCAGCAAAUGACAUCAAGUCUGUCUCAUCUCCUGUCAUUCUUAAGGUGUUUUCUUCUUGGUUACUUGCAGUUAACUGGUCUUCCGCAUAGAUCAUCCAUGGGUUAGACCUGGGUCAGCUUUUUAGACUUAGAUAGGAGAAGGGCCUGCAGGAAGAUGAGACAAGGCUACGUUUCCAAAUUCACCACUGGUACCCAUGUGAGUGCAUCUAGAGAGAGAACACCUCACCCAAGAAGUAUGGUACAGACCUGGCCAAUAAUGGACAUCUCCACCUAUGUUCAGGAAAGACUUUUUUCUGGCUUUUUCCUACCAUUUCCAGAUGGUAAAAUAUUUCUAGUGCUGUGACAUAUUUAUUAUGACCCAAUCGUCUUGUCAAAUUCAUUGGUGGAUAAUUCCUAGAAAUCAGGGAAAGUCACCAAGUUGUAUUUACCUUCCCUUGACUGGUGGUAUUUCUAUCUUUGAUUCUUAGUACAGAGAAAGCAUGGAAUGAAGAGAAGUGAGUGUUCCUAUUGCUAGAAUCAUUUCAGAGGUGCACUACUAGGUACUUCGGGGAGUUCAAUUAAAAAAAGUUGAUGGAUCAAUAUGGAAGAAAAGGUAGAAGGUUAUUUGUAGUUAGGUACAUAUUAAGAAAUUGUACUUCCCUGAAUGAUGAGAGGAAUGAUGAUUAAAGGAAGAGGUGGAAUUUCCCGAAAUGGUGAAAUUCAUCUCUCAUCUGCCUUCCCCUUCUUUCCCCAUCCUGGCCCAUAGCACCAAGUCACUAGAAUUUAGGCAGCAUGUGGAAAAAGAAGUCCAUCUCUAAGGCAGAGUUGACUCGUUCAGCUUUCUCCUGUAUGGAGCAGUGGUGAUUCAUGCCUUCCUCCGCUGUCACACUGUCAGCAUCCGCUAAUCAUAGCCCCGUGAUCACAGGACUUGGGCACAUAAACAAUUUCCAGGAGGUUCAGAGCAGCCCAGGGACCUCGCAGGCACAAACACCGGUUAUUCUGUAAUUCAUUACAUGCCCCUCCCCAUCAUCUUGACAUGUGCUUGAAAUAAUAGCUUUCCUUAAAACGUUUGAACAUGUUGGUGGACUAGAUCCUUUCACUGUCCUUGGUACACACAUUGUUGUCUUACUAAGUCUGCUUUUAAAUGGAACUCUUUGGCUGUCCUGCUGAAGCUCAGGGGGCGGGGGGAUGUGUUUCGUGAAGAAUAUCAAGAGGAUACAGUGAUGGGAUUUCAAACACAAAUUGGUUCUUCUUGUGCUUUGCAUGUAUAUGUUGUGAGAGGCGAGAGAGUGAGGCCCUUGAAUGCUAUUGUGAAGCAGACUGCAUAUAUUUGGUGCUUAAAUUUGUAUGUAUUUUUUUACACUAGUAAGUCAGGUCAUUUACCUCCCACUCUUCCUCAAACAGAUGUCUUUAGCAAACUUAAGUUCCUCCAGUCAGUCUGUUUAUUCAGCCUGAGGCAGGAAUCAAUAACUUCUAGUGACACUGACAGGAUUAGUUUCUAUAUUCAAUAAAUAUGUAUUUUUGAUUACCUACUGUGCCAUGCAUAACAAUAGACAUUGGAGAGUUUGCAGUUUCUGUUCCCAUAGGAUCUAGAAUUAAGAAACAUUUAUAUUUGAAACCACGAUUGUCCAGUGCCUACAGUAUCUGUUGGGUUGUUACAAAAAUGGCUGGUAGAUUUUAUAAAGUUUCUUAGUUAUAUUGAACUUCAAACAUAGAAGAAGAAAAUAUUAUCUGGUUCUUAUAUGUCUUAGCUGUGUGUCCUCAGUGAUUAGAAAAUGAGAAAGCUGUGUCUGUGUUGGCUCUUCCAGUGUCAAGUGUUAUCUUUACGAGGGAUUCUUAGCUGUAUAAGUUGUGUUUCAAAAUGAAGGCAAAAUUGCUAUACGUCAUCCCAAUAGACUAUGUAGGGAUUAAUGUUAUUCCUUUUUAUAGUCACAGGCUCAGCAUGUUUAGUUGAUUUAUCCAAAAUCAUUUAACUCUGUUGGUAUGGAGUAUAGGUUGCUAGAGCCUGGGUUUGAUCUCGUGAUAUAUUACUUUUACUUUUUCCUUUAUUCAUUAAUGAGAAUAGCAUCAAGUGUAAAGACAGGGCAAAUGUUUUGAUUUAGGAUCAUUUAUGGAACUUGAUGGAAUUUUAACUGUGCUUCCCAUAUCACGCACAUGAAUCAAACUCUAAUAUAAUACCUAUGAGAAACAUCAGGCAGAAGAAUUUCUGAGGCAUUUAACUGUGGUUUUAGAAGUCAUUAUUUUUCCCUGAUUAUGCCUCCCCCCACCCCAUGUUCUGGGACCCACUCAUAGUUUUAACAAUACCUUCAAAAUCUGUUUGUCCUGAAUAGAUGAUUCACACAUACUCAGAUAUGAAAAUAAGGAAAUGUUGAAAUGUAUUAAUUAUUAGCAAUAUACAAAUUUAAAUAAUAGAAUAAUAGAAAAGAAAAUAUCCAAAAUUAAAACUCAGUAAUUAUUCUAAUGAAAUAUCUCUCUUAUUUUCCUGUUGGUAGUUUAAAUUAGGAUAAAUCCAUAGGAAAAUAGUUUGGCGCCAUCAGGAGCCAGCAAAAUGCUCUUUGACCUCAUAAUCCCCUUUCUGGGAAUCUAUCCUAAGGAGCAAUCCAAACUAUGGAGAAAGCUACACCCCUGAAACAGCAGAAACCGCAUAUGUGCCUAACAACAGGGGCAUAGUCAAUUAAUUCUCUCUCUCUUUUUUUUUUUUUGCUGGAUAGAAUGAAUGACCGUUAAAAAGACCAGUGUAGUGACAUGAUACAGUUACUGACAAUGCAAAAUUAAAAUACAUACAAAUUUGUCUUAUAAUUACAAAUAGAAAAGCAGAUGCACAGGGAAAAUAUAAAAAAUAAAAAAGCUAGAGGAAACUUACCCUAAUACCAAGAGAAGUUUAGCUAGGGUCAUGGGACUUCUUGGUGGUUUUUUUCUUUUUCUAUUUUCCAAAAUUUCAGUCAUGUUAUUUAUAUUACUUUUAUUCAAAUUCUUAAUAAAAAUAUGUCUAAUUGAGUUGUUCUCCACAGCUGUGUUGAAGCUGGCCGGUGGGUUUGGAAGUGAGUGGGAGGAAAGGGGUGGAGUUAGAGCCAGCAAGCAGAACCUGCCACAGAGAGGCCUGGCCUGUCCUCUUCACACAGCUGCCCACGGAGAGGGCCAGUUCCUGAGGGAAGUAUGUCUGCCAAAGCUCUGUAAAGACAUUUGUUAGCCGAAACUCUCACAAAGGUGACCUUUAUUCAUCUGCUUCUUCAUCUGAAAUACUGGAAUAAGAGGAUUUGUCCGAGUUCCUGGCAGCCUUGUUGCCAAGGCAAUGGUGGUAAUGCACAUGAACUUGCAUUGCGUGCCCUGUACCCCACUCUCUGUUAGUUGCUCUUGUUGUAAAAUAAUCCCAAUGGUAACAUUUGAAUCUUGGCU